Non-coding RNA from Chlorocebus sabaeus (green monkey), 239 nucleotides. It matches the Rfam family "Metazoan signal recognition particle RNA". Rfam says of the family: The signal recognition particle (SRP) is a universally conserved ribonucleoprotein. It is involved in the co-translational targeting of proteins to membranes. The eukaryotic SRP consists of a 300-nucleotide 7S RNA and six proteins: SRPs 72, 68, 54, 19, 14, and 9. The record is from Rfam. Lineage: Eukaryota; Metazoa; Chordata; Mammalia; Primates; Cercopithecidae.
GCCAGGCGCGGUGGCUCAAGCCUGUAAUCCUAGCACUUUGGGAGGCCGAGACGGGCGGAUCACGAGGUCAGGAGAUCGAGACCAUCCUGGCUAACACGGUGAAACCCCAUCUCUACUAAAAAAUACACAACACUAGCNNNNNNNNNNGCUAGUGUUGUGUAUUUUUUAGUAGAGAUGGGGUUUCACCAUGUUAGCCAGGAUGGUCUCGAUCUCCUGACCUCGUGAUCCGCCCGUCUCAG